RNAcentral lists this ribosomal RNA (446 nucleotides) under Theileria equi. RNAcentral's name for it is "SSU rRNA". It matches the Rfam family "Eukaryotic small subunit ribosomal RNA", at positions 560 to 1039 of the family's 1831-position model. The record is from RNAcentral. Lineage: Eukaryota; Apicomplexa; Aconoidasida; Piroplasmida; Theileriidae.
UCUGGUGCCAGCAGCCGCGGUAAUUCCAGCUCCAAUAGCGUAUAUUAAACUUGUUGCAGUUAAAAAGCUCGUAGUUGAAUUUCUGCUGCAUCGUGGUUCUUCGCUAUGUCGAGUGAUCUUCGUUGUGGCUUAGUUGGGGCAUGUUUUCAUGACUCGACGUUUACUUUGAGAAAAUUAGAGUGCUUCAAGCAGGCUUUUGCCUUGAAUACUUUAGCAUGGAAUAAUGGAGUAGGACUUUGGUUCUAUUUUGUUGGUUUUAGGAGCCGGAGUAAUGGUUAAUAGGAACAGUUGGGGGCAUUCGUAUUUGACUGUCAGAGGUGAAAUUCUUAGAUUUGUCAAAGACGAACUACUGCGAAAGCAUUUGCCAAGGAUGUUUCCAUUAAUCAAGAACGAAAGUUAGGGGAUCGAAGACGAUCAGAUACCGUCGUAGUCCUAACCAUAAACUA